This 2655-nucleotide long non-coding RNA is filed under the name Homo sapiens (human). RNAcentral's name for it is "HSALNT0116625". Lineage: Eukaryota; Metazoa; Chordata; Mammalia; Primates; Hominidae. The record is from RNAcentral.
GUCGUGAGGCGGGCCUUCGGGCUGGCUCGCCGUCGGCUGCCGGGGGGUUGGCCGGGGUGUCAUUGGCUCUGGGAAGCGGCAGCAGAGGCAGGGACCACUCGGGGUCUGGUGUCGGCACAGCCAUGGCGGGCGCGUUGGUGCGGAAAGCGGCGGACUAUGUCCGAAGCAAGGAUUUCCGGGACUACCUCAUGAGUACGGUAAGAAAAUUAUUUCCAUCCAUUUCAGGCUUUUGCAGACUUUCUGCAUUAACAGAGUUAGGGGUAACAGGCUUAGCAUCCUUUGCAUAUGAGAGCCUUUCUAGCCGCCAUGGCUGGCAGGUUGUGAAGGGUGCCUACUGCACCCUGGCCUGUCCUGGGGAGCCUAGACACGAGCUCUGUGACAGCCAUGCUCCUGGGGCUGCUCCCUACUCCUGUUUUUAGAAACAAGCAUAUAAUUACUUCAUUGAUAACAGUCACAGUGGAGCCUAGCAACCGAUGAAAGGAAAUAGAGAAAGAAAAAGAGAAAGCAGGAAAAGAAGGGUGGGAUGAUUUUUUCCUGUAGGGUGGAGUUCAUUUCCAUGGCUUGAUUUUCACACAGGAGAUGGUGUUGUAUAAUUCUGUUGGAACUUUCUUUUCAGCACAAUUAAGAAUUAUAAUCAAGUAAAAUGUUUUCCAUUUAAUCCAACAUAUGUUAAUUUCUUUUUGAAUUUUAAUAAAGUUCCUUAUUUUUCUCAAAAUUGACUGCUGAAUAUCUGACAGCAUAAAUCAAUUGUAUUCUAAAAAAGGGAAGAGAGAACUAGAAUAUUGUACUAGAUAGAAAAGAUGCAUUAUAAACUUUCUAAGGUUAGGUAUUUUAGUAAACUAGUGUUAAAAUGAUUUUUACCUUUCGUGUUCUUCUUAAGAAACAUAUUUUCAGUAUAGCUCAACACUUACAGUCAUAAGUGUAUGUAUAGUUCUUAACUUGCAGAACUGUUUCCUAUAACCUAACACUCAUCACACUUAAACUUUUUAUUUUUUUAAUUUUUUUUCUUUUUUGAGAUGGAGUCUUGCUCUGUUGCCCAGGCAAGAGUGCAGUAGCACUAUCUUGGCUCACUACAACCUCUGCCUCACGUGUUCAAGCGAUUCUCCUGCCUCAACCUCCCUAGUAGCUGGGAUUUCAGGUGCAAGCCACCACACCCAGCUAAUUUGUGUAUUUUUAGUAGAGACGGGGUUUCACCAUGUUGGUCAGGCUGGUCUCAAACUCCUGACCUCAUGAUCCGCCUGCCUCAGCCUCCCAAAGUACUGGGAUUACAGGUGUGAGCCACCAUGCCCGGCCCAUACUUAAACUUUUAAUAACAUCACUUAGCCAGGAAUCUCCCAAGGCUACUUUAGGUUUAGAUUUAUUCCAUUGUCCAUUUCUGCUUUAGCCCCACCUAUGAAAGAAGACACAUUCACAACCAGUGGUAGAGAAACUGUGGUUUAUAUGCCCCUCUUAGAAUAACUCUUCAGGCUCUGUUUAUAGCCCUGGGUUCAUGCAUGAUAAAGUAGACAGCAACACCACCAUACAGUGCAGAGGAGUGGCAAGAGAGUAAACGGAAAAGGAGAUGAAAAUAGACCAAGUGGAGAAAGGCCUGGUCAAAAAAGGAGGAAAAGGAAGAUCACUAUGGAAUAAUAGAGAGUUGAAAAAUGAAGUGACACCCAAUAACAGGACGGGACAAUCAGAGAUGACUUGGUUGUAGUGUGGAAACCAGUAGGGACCUUGGGAAGCUGCCAAACCCUUUCUAGCUCUGGGCUCAGCUGUAAGAACUGCUGAUUCCUACAGGAACACUUGGACAAUCCAAUACCUAAAUGUUAACCAUCAAUUAACCCAGUAAACCUGCAAGAUGGAAACGAAGAUUUGUUCUCACGAGUUUCACGUGAUUAUUUAAACACUUCUGGGGCCCAGUAGCCAACUGGGGUCUUCCCAUUGCUGCCAUCAAUGAUAUGAAAAAGUCUCCAGAGAUUAUCAGUGGGCGGAUGACAUUUGCCCUCUGUUGCUAUUCUUUGACAUUCAUGAGAUUUGCCUACAAGGUACAGCCUCGGAACUGGCUUCUGUUUGCAUGCCACGCAACAAAUGAAGUAGCCCAGCUCAUCCAGGGAGGGCGGCUUAUCAAACACGAGAUGACUAAAACGGCAUCUGCAUAACAAUGGAAAAGGAAGAACAAGGUCUUGAAGGGACAGCAUUGCCAGCUGCUGCUGAGUCACAGAUUUCAUUAUAAAUAGCCUCCCUAAGGAAAAUACACUGAAUGCUAUUUUUACUAACCAUUCUAUUUUUAUAGAAAUAGCUGAGAGUUUCUAAACCAACUCUCUGCUGCCUUACAAGUAUUAAAUAUUUUACUUCUUUCCAUAAAGAGUAGCUCAAAAUAUGCAAUUAAUUUAAUAAUUUCUGAUGAUGGUUUUAUCUGCAGUAAUAUGUAUAUCAUCUAUUAGAAUUUACUUAAUGAAAAACUGAAGAGAACAAAAUUUGUAACCACUAGCACUUAAGUACUCCUGAUUCUUAACAUUGUCUUUAAUGACCACAAGACAACCAACAGCUGGCCACGUACUUAAAAUUUUGUCCCCACUGUUUAAAAAUGUUACCUGUGUAUUUCCAUGCAGUGUAUAUAUUGAGAUGCUGUAACUUAAUGGCAAUAAAUGAUUUAAAUAUUUGUUAAAUGAG